Lycium barbarum (goji berry) is the source of this 5249-nucleotide RNA transcript. RefSeq lists it as uncharacterized. The record is from RefSeq and is a predicted model, not a curated record. Lineage: Eukaryota; Viridiplantae; Streptophyta; Magnoliopsida; Solanales; Solanaceae. The transcript is spliced from 5 exons.
UAUAUUGUACCAGAAGUAUUAUAGAUUGUACGGUAUUGUUGGACGUCUCUUUUUUUAUUCAUCACACUUGGACCAUCUCAUUGCUCAACUCGUGUAUUGUACUGCAUUGAAGCCCUUCAAAUUUCCUCUUUUGGACGACAUUUAUUUGAGUGGGCCAGUUGGCUUCCACUUAGCUUUUAUUUCCAUUUUCAUUGCAUGAUUCUGAGACUUGCUCUAUUGUUUGCUUUCAAGAUGCUAUGGUGAGGCUGAGCUCUCUAUUCAGUACCUCCUUGAUCUGAGGUUUUUGAAACUUAUUUAUUUACUGCAGUAGAUCAUAUUGUCGUGAUCCUUCUUAUUGAGUUUUCUCUGUUUGCCCGUUCCACCACCCUCUUUCCAAAAGCAGGUACUUCGUUGGGUAUAUGAUAAAAAAAAUAUGCAUCUUCUUUGGACGAGAAGAAUUUUGGAUCAAUAAGUUGACAAUUUCAUGAUUCAAACUUCGCUUCUUCGUCCGCUACUGCCGGUGAAGCUGCUAUCCUUUUGGUUCUACAUUUGUAAUAUAGUUACUAAGCUUGGAGUUCUUAGUGAGCCCCAUUAUAACCUCGGUGUACAUAUUUCUAACAAAAGAGCUUGCAGAACUAAUUAAGAAAAACGAGAGAUACUUCAUUUAAUAUUUAUUUGUAUUUGCGAUUUGCUAUAGAGUAGAAUCAAUCCUUGCUGCUUCAGUUACGAGCUUGAUAUAGCACAGGAUCAUGUUUUUAAUUGUUGUUGACUGACAUUUACAAUUUUAAGCUGUAACAGUUAAUUUCGCUACAUUUUUCUUGAGGUGAUUGAUUAAAAAUAUACUAAGAAAAGCCAACGAAAGAUAUGGUCUUUUUUUUUAGGACAACAAGCGAUAAAGGCCAUUUAUGCCAACUGCUUGAUUUCUGGAUUGAAAAUUUGAAGCUCUUUAACAAGGCCAAAAAAGUUAUUUAAAAUUGCUAAGUCAAGAUUACUCCUGUCUCAGGUCAUACCGACUCUGUUUGUUUUUCCAUCUCUAUGUUCUUAUUUGUUUUUCCAUCUCUAUAUUCUUAUUUGUAUCUUCAAAUCUAUGUUAAAUGAAUGAAAGGAAAAUGACCGAUAGUUGUCUACAUUUCAUCAUGUUUCACCUAGCACAAUCACUUUUUUUAAAACUAUGUCCCCCUUUUUUGAUUCAAUAUCCUGAUUACCCUUGGAAAACUAAUUAAAGCACCAUUUUUUACUUGAAGUAUAGUGCUUGAAAAGGAAAAUACACAAAUGAGGAUGUAGAGAUCCUUCUCUUUGUCAAAUUUUAGUUGUGAAGCUCAUUUAUCUUAUAGUAGUACUUUUUGUUGGUGAUGGAAAUGAAAAUAUGUAGCUUAUUUCUAAAAAAUGUAUCUUAUUUCUACUAUGAGAUGGAUAGCGGCAAAAGAAAAACAAGGAGAAUCAUAUAUAGCUGGAGAACCCUCUAACACCUACAUUAGCAUAGAGAUCUUGAAACUUUAGCUUCUUUUUUGGAAUAUUCUUCAUUUUCAGCUUGCCUGCUUCUUGAUGUUUCAUUGUCACAAGUAAAACUGAGGGGUAAAGGUUGUUUUACUUAAUUUUCUCAAGAUAAUCCUACCACGGCGCAGUCAGAGGGCUGUUAUUCAUUUAGUGAAUUUAGCAGGAAACAUGAUCCAUAGAAUGUUACUACUGCUUCUCUAAGUUGGAAUGCUUAUGAAAAUCAAAUAUUUUACACUUUUUUUUUUUGGAAUUUUGAAGUUGGAGUUCUGUUUGGCUGUAGUUUUUGCAAAGAAUAUUUGGUUGUUUGAAUAUAUUGAAAGUGAAAAAAGUGAAAACUGAGUUUUAUGUGUUUUCCAAAUACAACUUCAAGUUGUAUAUGGAAUUUUCAUGGCCAAACCUUGAUUUCCAAAUAAAGUGAAGAAAAUUUUCGGAAAAAAGUGAAAAAUUCUGCCAAACGGGUAUUAAGUACCUAUAAAACUUAAGUUGAAUUUAGUGGUCAUACAGUUUGAGCAUUUUCCUUCUUUGAUAUACUUGUGUGAAUAGAAUUGCGUCUUGCUUACAGAGUUUGAAGCAAACAUUUUCUCCUUUGCUAUAAUCUCUUCUGUCUAAAUGUUUUUUCGUUCCUGUACUAAUGUGAAGAGAAGAAGCAUCCAAGAGCACUACAAAAAUAGGAACGUGGAAAAGUCAAAGCUGCAUUACUGCUCACAAUUGCUAGAUGAGAGGCUACUAAUAUGUUAACAUACAUGUAAUGAAUUUUACAGUGGUUCUAGGUUGCCGCUGAUUUGGAAGAGUCCUUAAUUAACAGAAAUUGGUAGCUUUGCCUUCGAUUGUCUGAGCAUGGGACUCUACCUGGUAGUGCAAUAACUGAAGCUGAGUAGUGGAAGGGCCAUGAAAACUGAAGCCUACCUCCACUAGCUACAAAAGCCAGGAUACCCUUUGUCUGAGCCUUACAUUGGUAGAGUUCAAUACGUAUUCGCCAUUUGACUGUGCCAAAAUUCAAAGCACUUUAGAAGUGGGUAACCUCUCACCUUAAAGUCGCUUGAAGCUAUAAUUUUCCUCCUUUGCCUAAUGAAGGCACAAUUUUUCUUUUGUUGCUCCCAAUUGCGCUGCUACUGUGUCUUUGUGCUCAAAUCUUGAUUCUUUUUUUUUUUGGGGGGGGGGGGGGGGGGGGGGGUUGGUUUGUCUUUUUCAAUUCUUAGAGAGAUUUCUUUACGGGCUCAACUUAUUUUGUAAAGAUUUGUCUUCCAUGUAUUGAACUAUUUUGCAGUUUGUGUUGUGAGUACUCUAAGCAUAUGCAUUUUUGUAUUCUUUACUCUUUCAUAUAUAUCAGAGUCGCUUCAUGUACAACUUUUUUUAGGUGAUAUUAUUAUUCUACCUUCACUUGGUCCCUGUAUACUGUAAUUAAAAGUUAUACAUCCAAGCAACACUAUCAUGUAAACUAAAAUUGUUGGGCCCGUGCAGCGCACGGGCAGCCCCUUCUAGUACUUUAUAGAAAUGGCACUUGUGGUGUACGAAAUCAUUGUACGAAAGGAAAUGUAAAUUGUACGAGACUUAGGAGGCCGAACACAGCAAAAACAAGUUGUACUCUGCUCAUCCAUGGUUGGACCUUUAAACCCCAAGUCCAAAAGAUCAGCUCUUCUCUUUAUCAUUCUGACAAGUGUACUUUUUGGUUGACACGUGUUUAGUACUUCUAUUUAAGUGGGACAACUGCUUCCCACUUCUAUUUCCUUUUCUAUUUUCUAUUCCUUUUUUCACAUUUGUGAUAUUGAUUUUCAGUUUCCACUCUCAUGUGGACUGUUUCAAUGGCCUGUCUGCCAAAUGGUGUCUUAAUGUUUUGGUAUUUUAAUUUUAGUUAUCUAAUCAAAAUUUAUGACUUAUUAGCCAUUCUUCUUUGUUUGUCAUUUUUGUUGCAGAUAGUGGUUCAAAUGCUAAUUCAGAUUCACAUGUAGAUUUAUAUCCAGAUGAUUUUAGAUUUGUAAGGAAGUCAAAAUAUGUUGAUGAAGAAAGGGAAGAGAAUUCGAAAAAGCUGAAGGAGAAUAGCAGCUCAAUAUUAAAGAAGUUGAUGAGUUCAUAUUGUCAACAACUGAGGCAAAAUAUGAGGUGCAUAUGAAUGUAUCAGUUAUGAUAGGUACCUUACCCUUGAAAGGUUCUCAAAAGUGACAAGAGUGCGCAGUUCUUUCGUUAUGGAGUGUAUAUGUGUCAUUGUACUGAAGUCGGGUCCAUAGUUCUCUGUUUGUCUCUAUGUCUGAAAUUCAACUAAUAUCUUCUCAACGGAGGAACUAUUACAUCUGUUGAUAAAUGAUAACGAUGGUAUCUUCGAAUGAAUUGAAUCUGUCAUCAAGCAUUACUAUAUUAUGAAGGUUAAAGAUUUUUGUAAAUGUGGGAAAUUGAAGACUAUGAUGUGCGACUAUUUGAAUGUAUGUAAAGGCAAGUUUCGAAAGAAUCUGAUGAUCUUUUCUGAAACCUACUAUACUUCACUUGACAAAAUUAUACUGGAAUUGAUAUGCUGUCAUUUCAUUCGGUAGGAUGAUGAAUAAGCUGACAACGAUGAGGACUUGGAACUCUUGGAAAGAUCUAUAAUCUGACAUAGAUGAUGAUGGAACAAAUUAGGUACCAUUUCCAUCUCAUAAAUUGGCUAUGACGUGUGAGCUGUCCUUUGCAGAAUCCAAACUCAAUUCCCCGUGUCGCAAGAUAUCUAUAUAAGAAUAGCUGCCUCUGAAUUAGAUAGUCCGGGGAAAUCAGAUGGAAAGACGGGAAACAUGUCUUAUUGAUCCGACAAUUAUCAAUUGGUGUGAUUUUGGUAAUCCAAGCUUGGUGAUUUGCCACAGAAGAAGGAAGAAUGCUUUGAAGCUCAAGAAGAGAGGAAAAUGGGGAUACAACGACAAUUUGAAGAUGGAUUACAACAGUGGUAGUUGAAGAAUUUGAAAUGCCAACGAUCUAUCUAACCAUAACCAAAGCUGCCAAUAACUUUUCAGUUACCAGAAAGAUUGGAGACAGGGGCUUUGGUCCUGUUUACAAGAUAACAACACUUCACCAAAAGCAUAUAUCAGAUGAAGUCUAGAUGACUUGUCAGAAGCUUCCUGGUCCACCGGCGUUAAACCUUCAUCUUUAGUUUCAGUAUACAAGUUGUAUGAUAAACACUGCCAGAUAAAGCUUAACCUUGUAAAACCAAAGGAGACUUGGAAGAUAACAUUGGGAAGAAGUGUGGGAAUAGAGGAAAGAGCCUUUUGGUGCAUGAACCUGUAGGUAUGGUGAACUUCUGCAACAGCUUAACAGGUUCUACCGUUCUUAUAAUAUAAGGAUAACUAGCUGACUGAUAGAAGGGACUAUUUUAGUUUUAGUGUUUAUACUUACAUGGUGCCAUUCAAUAUUAUCAAUUAUGAUGUAUAUCCAAUUUGUCUCCAUCAAAACUUCGUAGCCGAGGAUAUCAGGGAGUUCAAGUCAGAUGUUGAAACCCCAAUACUCUAAUUCCAAUGCAACUUCAAUUGCUUCCAGGGAGAAUUUAGGUACACGGGAGUUCUCGGUUGAUGAAAUUUGCCAAGCAAAUGAAAAUUUCUCUGCAGUACACAAGAUUGGUGACGAGGGGUUUGGUACAGUGUACAAUGGAAAGCUUAUGGAUAGAUUUACUUGCAUUAAGUUAGAAUGUUGAAAAUAUAUUGUCUUUAACUCUUUGUUUAAUUAUCACUCCAAUGAUGGUACAUAAAAAACCUUUCAUAUAUGUUGCUAUUUACAAUGCAAUAACAAUUAAUGUUAAUAAAAGUUGUUUACAAUCA